CUGCCCAGUGACUAUAUGUUUAACGGCCGCGGUAUUUUGACCGUGCGAAGGUAGCGCAAUCACUUGUCUUUUAAAUGAAGACCUGUAUGAAUGGCACGACGAGGGCUUAACUGUCUCCUUCCUCCAGUCAAUGAAAUUGAUCUCCCCGUGCAGAAGCGGAGAUUUUUACAUAAGACGAGAAGACCCUAUGGAGCUUUAGACUAUUAAGACAGACUAUGUUAAAUACUCAAGAACAAAAGACCGAACAGUAUACACACUGCCCUUAAUGUCUUUGGUUGGGGCGACCCUGGGGAACAACAAAACCCCCAUGAAAACGGGGAGAACAGACUCCUACAGACAAAAGCCACACCUCUAACUCACAAAACUUCUGACUUACAUGAUCCGGCCAUGCCAAUCAACGGACCGAGUUACCCUAGGGAUAAC
RNAcentral lists this ribosomal RNA (423 nucleotides) under Nothobomolochus gerresi. RNAcentral describes it as "partial large subunit ribosomal RNA". It matches the Rfam family "Bacterial large subunit ribosomal RNA", at positions 1859 to 2478 of the family's 2925-position model. The record is from RNAcentral. Lineage: Eukaryota; Metazoa; Arthropoda; Copepoda; Poecilostomatoida; Bomolochidae.